Molecule: ribosomal RNA, 506 nt
Filed under: uncultured bacterium
Lineage: Bacteria
Description: partial 16S ribosomal RNA
Rfam family: Bacterial small subunit ribosomal RNA
Source: RNAcentral
AGUGAACGCUGGCGGUAGGCCUAACACAUGCAAGUCGAACGGCAGCACAGGAGAGCUUGCUCUCUGGGUGGCGAGUGGCGGACGGGUGAGGAAUACAUCGGAAUCUACUCUGUCGUGGGGGAUAACGUAGGGAAACUUACGCUAAUACCGCAUACGACCUACGGGUGAAAGCAGGGGACCUUCGGGCCUUGCGCGAUUGAAUGAGCCGAUGUCGGAUUAGCUAGUUGGCGGGGUAGAGGCACACCAAGGCGACGAUCCGUAGCUGGUCUGAGAGGAUGAUCGGCCCCACUGGAACUGAGACACGGUCCAGACUCCUACGGGAGGCAGCAGUGGGGAAUAUUGGACAAUGGGCGCAAGCCUGAUCCAGCCAUACCGCGUGGGUGAAGAAGGCCUUCGGGUUGUAAAGCCCUUUUGUUGGGAAAGAAAUCCAGCUGGCUAAUACCCGGUUGGGAUGACGGUACCCAAAGAAUAAGCACCGGCUAACUUCGUGCCAGCAGCCGCCGUAA